AGAGUUUGAUCAUGGCUCAGAACGAACGCUGGCGGCAUGCCUAACACAUGCAAGUCGAACGCGUGUAGCAAUACACGAGUGGCGCACGGGUGAGUAACGCGUGGGAACCUGCCCAGUGGUAGGGAAUAACUGCGGGAAACUGCAGCUAAUACCCUAUACGCCCUACGGGGGAAAGUUUUUCGCCAUUGGAGGGGCCCGCGUCGGAUUAGCUAGUUGGUGAGGUAAGAGCUUACCAAGGCGACGAUCCGUAGCUGGUCUGAGAGGAUGAUCAGCCACACUGGGACUGAGACACGGCCCAGACUCCUACGGGAGGCAGCAGUGGGGAAUAUUGGACAAUGGGGGAAACCCUGAUCCAGCAAUGCCGCGUGAGUGAUGAAGGCCUUAGGGUUGUAAAGCUCUUUCGACGGGGACGAUGAUGACGGUACCCG
Molecule: ribosomal RNA, 428 nt
Filed under: uncultured Tistrella sp.
Lineage: Bacteria; Pseudomonadati; Pseudomonadota; Alphaproteobacteria; Geminicoccales; Geminicoccaceae
Description: bacterial SSU rRNA
Rfam family: Bacterial small subunit ribosomal RNA
Source: RNAcentral